This 780-nucleotide ribosomal RNA is filed under the name Triticum aestivum (bread wheat). RNAcentral's name for it is "partial small subunit ribosomal RNA". Lineage: Eukaryota; Viridiplantae; Streptophyta; Magnoliopsida; Poales; Poaceae. The record is from RNAcentral.
AUGGAAAACAACAAAAAUAUGAGAGAGCUUUAUAAGCUCUACCUUGAACUUGGACAUGAUGUGUUCGAAGAGAAAAUUAAAAAACCAUUGGAACUUUAUUAUUUGCAUAACAAUCAUGAUGGUGGUGAUGUUAUUAGUAUGUUUUUAUUUAAUAUCAAUAUUGCUAAUGACAUGGAAAGCUCUAAGCUUGGGGAUGACACGUUUGAUGAACAUGAUAUUUUUAGUCCCCCAACUUUUGAGGAGAAAAUUUACUUUGAUGAUACUAUGCCUUCUAUAUAUGAUGAUUACAAUGAUGAAUAUGAUAUUUUCAGUCCACCUACUAUUGAGGAUAAAAUUUAUUAUGAUUAUGAUAUGCCUCCUAAAUACGAUGAUUACCAUGAUGGUUAUGAUAGUCUUACUCUCACUAUUCCUAAUAAGAAAGAUUUUGCUUAUAUGAAGAGUAAUGACACUUUUAUGCUUUUGGAUCAUGGAAAUAAUGCCUUAUGUGAUGCUUAUAUUGUUGAGUUUAUUCGUGAUCCCACUGAAAAUUAUUAUGAGAAGGGAACCUAUGCUUAUAGAUAUUUCAAUAAUAUUAAGUUCCCUCUCUUUAUGUUGAAGGUUUUGAAGCUGCACUUGUUUUGUCUUCCUAUGCUUAUUGCUUUGUGCUUCAAUGAAUUAUUCUAUUGCAAUAUUCCUAUGCAUAGGAAGCAUGUUAGGCUUAAAUGUGUUUGGUAUUUGCUUCUUGAUGCUCUCUUUUGUUCUUCAACUCUUAUUCCUACGAGAGCAUCAUUAAAGUCUUAA